AGAACGACAUGCCUUCUGAAGGCCUCAAACAGCAUCUUCUCUGAUCCGUGUUUUGGCACCUACAAGUACCUCGACAUCUCCUACAGCUGUGUUCCUCCAAGUAAAGAACCGGAGCAUCCCAUCACCACAAUCUUACACUACACUCCAAACACGUUCAGUCUCAUUUUAAUUUGAACAAUUUUAUAAGACGAUAAAUUCUUCUAGGCAAAAUCUACUUUUGUUUCUUUCCAACAGAGUCCGGCCAGACAUGUGAAGGGCAACAAAGAAAACUGGAAUGUGGUUCCAAUGUAAUCCGUAUCCACACUGCCAGUUACGGGCGAACAGAUAAAACCACCUGCUCUGCUGGACGCCCUGCGAAUCAACUCAGCAGGACCGACUGCUCUGCAUCUACAACGCUCCCUAUAGUAAGGGAGAGAUGUGAAGGAAGGACGACAUGCCUUCUGAAGGCCUUAAACAGCAUCUUCUCUGAUCCGU
Clupea harengus (Atlantic herring) is the source of this 474-nucleotide long non-coding RNA. RefSeq lists it as uncharacterized. Lineage: Eukaryota; Metazoa; Chordata; Actinopteri; Clupeiformes; Clupeidae. The record is from RefSeq and is a predicted model, not a curated record. The transcript has 3 exons.